UACGAGGGGGGCAAAUGUUGUCCGGAAUCAUUGGGCGUAAAGAGCGUGUAGGCGGCCACUUAAGUCCUGCGUGAAAUCCUGCGGCUCAACCGCAGGCGGUCGUGGGAAACUGGGUGGCUAGAGUGCGGGAGAGGAGAGUGGAAUUCCUGGUGUAGCGGUGGAAUGCGCAGAUAUCAGGAAGAACACCCGUGGCGAAGGCGGCUCUCUGGAACGCAACUGACGCUGAGACGCGAAAGCGUGGGGAGCAAACAGG
Molecule: ribosomal RNA, 253 nt
Filed under: uncultured bacterium
Lineage: Bacteria
Description: partial 16S ribosomal RNA
Rfam family: Bacterial small subunit ribosomal RNA
Source: RNAcentral